UGAGUAAUGUCUGGGAAACUGCCUGAUGGAGGGGGAUAACUACUGGAAACGGUAGCUAAUACCGCAUAACGUCGCAAGACCAAAGAGGGGGACCUUCGGGCCUCUUGCCAUCAGAUGUGCCCAGAUGGGAUUAGCUUGUUGGUGGGGUAACGGCUCACCAAGGCGACGAUCCCUAGCUGGUCUGAGAGGAUGACCAGCCACACUGGAACUGAGACACGGUCCAGACUCCUACGGGAGGCAGCAGUGGGGAAUAUUGCACAAUGGGCGCAAGCC
Molecule: ribosomal RNA, 273 nt
Filed under: Citrobacter koseri
Lineage: Bacteria; Pseudomonadati; Pseudomonadota; Gammaproteobacteria; Enterobacterales; Enterobacteriaceae
Description: partial 16S ribosomal RNA
Rfam family: Bacterial small subunit ribosomal RNA
Source: RNAcentral